GAUGAACGCUGGCGGCGUGCCUAAUACAUGCAAGUCGAGCGAACAGAUGAGGAGCUUGCUCCUCUGACGUUAGCGGCGGACGGGUGAGUAACACGUGGAUAACCUACCUAUAAGACUGGGAUAACUUCGGGACACCGGCGCUAAUACCGGAUAAUAUAUUGAACCGCAUGGUUCAAUAGUGAAAGACGGCUUUGCUGUCACUAAUAGAUGGAUCUGCGCCGCAUUAGCUAGUUGGUAAGGUAACGGCUUACCAAGGCAACGAUGCGUAGCCGACCUGAGAGGGUGAUCGGCCACACUGGAACGGGGACGCGGUCCAGACGCCUGCGGGAGGCAGCAGUAGGGAAUCUUCCGCAAUGGGCGGAAGCCUGACGGAGCAACGCCGCGUGAGUGAUGAAGGUCUUCGGAUCGUAAAACUCUGUUAUGAGGGAAGAACAGAUGUGUAAGGAACUAUGCACGUCUUGACGGUACCUAAUCAGAAAGCCCCGGCUAACUACGUG
This 497-nucleotide ribosomal RNA is filed under the name uncultured bacterium. RNAcentral describes it as "partial 16S ribosomal RNA". It matches the Rfam family "Bacterial small subunit ribosomal RNA", at positions 28 to 507 of the family's 1533-position model. The record is from RNAcentral.